UACGUAUGGUGCAAGCGUUAUCCGGAUUUACUGGGUGUAAAGGGAGCGCAGGCGGCACGGCAAGCCUGAUGUGAAAGCCCGCGGCCCAACCGCGGGACUGCAUUGGGAACUACCGGGCUGGAGUGCAGGAGAGGUAGGCGGAAUUCCUAGUGUAGCGGUGAAAUGCGUAGAUAUUAGGAGGAACACCAGUGGCGAAGGCGGCCUACUGGACGGUGACUGACGCUGAGGCUCGAAAGCGUGGGGAGCAAACAGG
This 253-nucleotide ribosomal RNA is filed under the name uncultured bacterium. RNAcentral describes it as "partial 16S ribosomal RNA". It matches the Rfam family "Bacterial small subunit ribosomal RNA", at positions 524 to 776 of the family's 1533-position model. The record is from RNAcentral.